GGGAAAGUAUACAAUACAUAAUUAUGUGUUUUAGAUUAUUUUACCUUGAUUUUGUGGUGACUAUGUUUUGGUGUUGGACUGAACCCUACUGUAAAUAUAAAAUAAUAGUGUCGCUCAUAUGGGUUACGGUAUGGUGAUGACCGGUUAGUUAUGGCCUUCAUACGGAUUUGGGUAUGAGAAUAAUUGGUGUUUAUGGCGCCUACAUGGGUUGAGGUGUGAGGCGACUGAUAAUCGUUGUGCUCAUAUGGGUUAGGGUAUGAGUACGUUUAACGAUUUACCAUUGAUUUCGGAAAAGUUUUGAGUAUCCACAAGUAGUGGAGACCCUUUAAUGUGUUAAAUGAAAACUAAAUAUAUGAGUGACCCUAAAUAUCAAACGAAGGAUAAAGGUGAAAUUAAUUUGAUUCAUAA
Molecule: long non-coding RNA, 408 nt
Filed under: Carica papaya (papaya)
Lineage: Eukaryota; Viridiplantae; Streptophyta; Magnoliopsida; Brassicales; Caricaceae
Description: long non-coding RNA (CPAP_LNC005461)
Source: RNAcentral